This 448-nucleotide long non-coding RNA is filed under the name Elaeis guineensis (African oil palm). Its description in RNAcentral is "long non-coding RNA (EGUI_LNC000435)". Lineage: Eukaryota; Viridiplantae; Streptophyta; Magnoliopsida; Arecales; Arecaceae. The record is from RNAcentral.
GGGGGUUUGCCUACUAGCCAUCCUACUAGCUAGAUUUUGUCAUCCACGUAUAUGAUUGCUUCAUAGGCCAUUCGGAGGUAUAUUUGAGAUCAUAUGUAUUAAGAUAUCGCAAGUAAUUCUUUCAUAAGCCUCCUCUACGAUGGUAUAAUAUAAUGUCUCAUUAAGGUCAAUUUGGUGGGGCAUCCAAACAAGCAUUUACAUGUUAAUUAGGAAACAAUUUGUGAGGAGGUUGAGGGAUGAGAAAUAUAUGCUAGAAGAACUCCAAAUCAAACAGCAUGAUCACCAAUAUAAAAGAUGUUUGAUGAUAUGAUGGAGUUCCUAGCCUCAAAUAUAAAAUGUCCUAUGGAUUUUCAAGCACAUAUGCUAUUCCUGCAAAAGAGGAGGAGCAUAAAUCCUCUAGAGUACAAAGUUUGCACUAUAGAAUGUUGUACAAUAUUUGAUAGCUACC